RNAcentral lists this ribosomal RNA (589 nucleotides) under Salmonella enterica. Its description in RNAcentral is "partial 23S ribosomal RNA". It matches the Rfam family "Bacterial large subunit ribosomal RNA", at positions 1181 to 1772 of the family's 2925-position model. Lineage: Bacteria; Pseudomonadati; Pseudomonadota; Gammaproteobacteria; Enterobacterales; Enterobacteriaceae. The record is from RNAcentral.
GUCAAAGCGUUCAUUAAAGUCGAGUUGGCUUAGGGAUACGUUCGUUGGGUAGGGGAGCGUUCUGUAAGCCUGUGAAGGUGUGUCGUGAGGCAUGCUGGAGGUAUCAGAAGUGCGAAUGCUGACAUAAGUAACGAUAAAGCGGGUGAAAAGCCCGCUCGCCGGAAGACCAAGGGUUCCUGUCCAACGUUAAUCGGGGCAGGGUGAGUCGACCCCUAAGGCGAGGCCGAAAGGCGUAGUCGAUGGGAAACGGGUUAAUAUUCCCGUACUUGGUGUUACUGCGAAGGGGGGACGGAGAAGGCUAUGUUGGCCGGGCGACGGUUGUCCCGGUUUAAGCGUGUAGGUGUGUGUUCCAGGUAAAUCCGGUUCACUUUAACACUGAGGCGUGAUGACGAGGCACUACGGUGCUGAAGCAACAAAUGCCCUGCUUCCAGGAAAAGCCUCUAAGCAUCAGGUAACAUCAAAUCGUACCCCAAACCGACACAGGUGGUCAGGUAGAGAAUACCAAGGCGCUUGAGAGAACUCGGGUGAAGGAACUAGGCAAAAUGGUGCCGUAACUUCGGGAGAAGGCACGCUGACACGUAGGUGAAGU